UAAAACGUAGGACACGAGCGUUAUCCGGAGUUACUGGGCGUAAAGGGCGAGUAGGUGGUGCGAUAAGACUGGUGUGAAAGCCUUCGGCUUAACCGAGGGAGGACACUGGUGACUGUCGGACUUGAGGCAGAUAGAGGGGUGUAGAAUUCCGGGUGUAGUGGUGAAAUGCGUAGAGAUCCGGAGGAAUACCAGAGGCGAAGGCGGCACCCUGGGUCUGACCUGACACUGAUCCGCGACAGCAUGGGGAGCGAACGGGAUUAGAAACCCCGGUAGUCCAUGCCGUAAACGAUGUGUACUGGGUGUUCACUCUCGCAAGGGAGGGAGCGCCUCAGCUAACGCGCUAAGUACACCGCCUGGGGAGUACGGUCGCAAGGCUA
RNAcentral lists this ribosomal RNA (377 nucleotides) under uncultured bacterium. Its description in RNAcentral is "bacterial SSU rRNA". It matches the Rfam family "Bacterial small subunit ribosomal RNA", at positions 521 to 896 of the family's 1533-position model. The record is from RNAcentral.